This 248-nucleotide small RNA is filed under the name Carnobacterium divergens DSM 20623. RNAcentral's name for it is "Listeria sRNA rli117". It matches the Rfam family "Listeria sRNA rli117". The record is from Rfam by way of RNAcentral. Lineage: Bacteria; Bacillati; Bacillota; Bacilli; Lactobacillales; Carnobacteriaceae.
UGAAGUAGAAAAAGUAUGGAAGAACAAAUUCAAAUGUUAAAGCAAACGGUGGGCAUGUUAUGCUGAAAAGGCUCAAGGGACAAACUAGGGUACUAGCUAUUUCGUGAGUUCCUCAGGCACUAAUAAAGGCACAUGCCCAAUAAAGAAAGUCAAUAGCGACGUUAGGAGAGCCUAGCAGUCUAUUGACUUUCUUUGUAGUGUCUAUUGUAAAGGAUUGAACUUUAUUCAUCCCUGUUUUUUUUUAUGAC